This 206-nucleotide ribosomal RNA is filed under the name uncultured bacterium. RNAcentral describes it as "partial 16S ribosomal RNA". It matches the Rfam family "Bacterial small subunit ribosomal RNA", at positions 568 to 774 of the family's 1533-position model. The record is from RNAcentral.
CUCGUAGGCGGCCAACUAAGUCAGACGUGAAAUCCCUCGGCUUAACCGGGGGACUGCGUCUGAUACUGGAUGGCUUGAGAUUGGGAGAGGGAUGCGGAAUUCCAGGUGUAGCGGUGAAAUGCGUAGAUAUCUGGAGGAACACCGGUGGCGAAGGCGGCAUCCUGGACCAACACUGACGCUGAGGAGCGAAAGCCAGGGAGCAAACG